This is a long non-coding RNA of Papaver somniferum (opium poppy), 208 nucleotides long. RefSeq lists it as uncharacterized. Lineage: Eukaryota; Viridiplantae; Streptophyta; Magnoliopsida; Ranunculales; Papaveraceae. The transcript has 3 exons. The record is from RefSeq and is a predicted model, not a curated record.
UUUCUUUAUUUUUCCUUUGCAGGAAGAGUCGACCAAAGAUGAGAAAAAUGCUAUUGAAAAAUCGCCACAAUAAUAGGGAUUUUCCGGUGUAGAAUGAUUGCUCUCACAGAUGCUUUGGAUUAAUGGCAGGGGCAUCAAGAAUGCCAAUUAUGUGCUUCCAGUUUAGUUUUUUGGUUGUCGAUUAACUGAUUUAUUGGUGGAGACCGCG